Acanthochromis polyacanthus (spiny chromis) is the source of this 938-nucleotide long non-coding RNA. RefSeq lists it as uncharacterized. The record is from RefSeq and is a predicted model, not a curated record. Lineage: Eukaryota; Metazoa; Chordata; Actinopteri; Pomacentridae. The transcript is spliced from 4 exons.
GCACGGUGGAGGUAGCAUCAUGAUGUGAAGCACGGUGGUGGCAGCAUCAUGACGUGAAGCACGGUGGAGGCAGCAUCAUGAUGUGAAGCACGGUGGAGGCAGCAUCAUGAUGUGAAGCACGGUGGUGGCAGCAUCAUGAUGUGAAGCAUGGUGGAGGUAGCAUCAUGACGUGAAGCACGGUGGAGGCAGCAUCAUGAUGUGAAGCACGGUGGAGGCAGCAUCAUGACGUGAAGCACGGUGGAGGCAGCAUCAUGAUGUGAAGCACGGUGGUGGCAGCAUCAUGACGUGAAGCACGGUGGAGGCAGCAUCAUGAUGUGAAGCACGGUGGAGGUAGCAUCAUGACGUGAAGCACGGUGGAGGCAGCAUCAUGACGUGAAGCACGGUGGAGGCAGCAUCAUGACGUGAAGCACGGUGGAGGCAGCAUCAUGAUGUGAAGCACGGUGGUGGCAGCAUCAUGAUGUGAAGCACGGUGGAGGCAGCAUCAUGACGUGAAGCACGGUGGAGGCAGCAUCAUGAUGUGAAGCACGGUGGAGGCAGCAUCAUGACGUGAAGCACGGUGGAGGCAGCAUCAUGAUGUGAAGCACGGUGGUGGCAGCAUCAUGAUGUGAAGCACGGUGGAGGCAGCAUCAUGAUGUGAAGCACGGUGGUGGCAGCAUCAUGAUGUGAAGCACGGUGGUGGCAGCAUCAUGAUGUGAAGCACGGUGGAGGCAGCAUCAUGACGUGAAGCACGGUGGAGGCAGCAUCAUGACGUGAAGCACGGUGGUGGCAGCAUCAUGAUGUGAAGCACGGUGGAGGCAGCAUCAUGACGUGAAGCACGGUGGAGGCAGCAUCAUGACGUGAAGCACGGUGGAGGCAGCAUCAUGAUGUGAAGCACGGUGGAGGCAGCAUCAUGACGUGAAGCACGGUGGAGGCAGCAUCAUGAUGUGAAGCAUGGUGGA